GCGUCGGCCUGGCGCGGGGUGAGGGCGUCGCGCUCGGCGUGAGAGUGGGGGUUGGCGUCGGCUCCGGUGCGCCGGUCGUCGGAUCGGCCGCCGCCGUG
Molecule: transfer RNA, 98 nt
Filed under: Phytohabitans flavus
Lineage: Bacteria; Bacillati; Actinomycetota; Actinomycetes; Micromonosporales; Micromonosporaceae
Description: tRNA-Thr
Source: RNAcentral